CCUACGGGAGGCAGCAGUGAGGAAUAUUGGUCAAUGGGCGCAAGCCUGAACCAGCCAAGUCGCGUGAGGGAUGACGGUCCUAUGGAUUGUAAACCUCUUUUGUCGGGGAGCAAGGCCCGCCACGUGUGGCGGGAAGGAGAGUACCCGAAGAAAAAGCAUCGGCUAACUCCGUGCCAGCAGCCGCGGUAAGACGGAGGAUGCGAGCGUUAUCCGGAUUUAUUGGGGUUACAGGGUGCGUAGGCGGAAGGUUAAGUCAGCGGUCAAAUGUCGGUGCUCAACACCGGCCUGCCGUUGAAACUGGUCGUCUUGAGUGAGCGAGAAGUAUGCGGAAUGCGUGGUGUAGCGGUGAAAUGCAUAGAUAUCACGCAGAACUCCGAUUGCGAAGGCAGCAUACCGGCGCUCAACUGACGCUGAGGCACGAAAGCGUGGGGAUCGAACAGGAUUAGAUACCCGUGUAGUC
RNAcentral lists this ribosomal RNA (460 nucleotides) under uncultured bacterium. RNAcentral describes it as "partial 16S ribosomal RNA". It matches the Rfam family "Bacterial small subunit ribosomal RNA", at positions 338 to 795 of the family's 1533-position model. The record is from RNAcentral.